UUUUGCUUGUGACUGUGGCGUGCUGACGUGGCGUCACCACCGCACGUAACAUGUGUACGCGCUCACAAGGCCCGCGUGAAUGAAUGAAAACCGUGCGUUUUACUGUGUGCCCGAUCGACGAGGACGCACGGGCACUAGUCCACCACACACAGAGUCCUAGUCGUAGACCAUACGCAUCAGGCGCAAGCGACAAGCAACUCAAGUAAGGUCUUAUUUAUCUACUCCCAAAUUCCCAACUUUAGCAAUAUGCAAAAAGAAG
RNAcentral lists this long non-coding RNA (259 nucleotides) under Setaria viridis. Its description in RNAcentral is "long non-coding RNA (SVIR_LNC005861)". The record is from RNAcentral. Lineage: Eukaryota; Viridiplantae; Streptophyta; Magnoliopsida; Poales; Poaceae.